AAUCCUAAUCCUCACUUUUGGCAAAAGAAUCAGCCACUCCACUACACUCUCUGCAACUCAUCUUUCUCUCUUUCUCGCUCCCCCAUAAACUGACCGCCGACGACGGACAAUCAAAUGCCAAUGCCGCUGCCGCUGCCGCUGCCGCUGCCGCUUGUUACUGAUGAGACCACCAUCGGAAAUAUCUCUUCAACUACCACCGCCGCAAAUCAUGGGAUUGUACGAUGUGGAUCUUACGGAUGAUAUCUGCAUAUGACGAAUUUCAAUUAGUUUAAUUUAUUUUUUUUUACAAAAAAAUUGAAGGCUAAAGAGCGUAAACAAGUGAUUCUCCGACUUAGGGAAGAUCUCAAAGUAGGGGAAGGUACUAGACGAAAAAGUGAACAUGGAGGUAAGCUACUGUAGAAUAAGCUCUUUAUCGUGUCCACAUGGGAUUAACUGCUGAUCUACUUAGAAAGACGUAUGAUGUUUUGCUAUCAGUUGGAUAUUCACGCGUUGUAAGAAGCGGAGUUCCUAGAGGAGGAGGAGGGAGGAGAAACCAUGCACUGACAGGACUUUCCUUUCUUUUUAUUAUUUUGGGAACUGCAACACAAGGAGGAGCAAAUAUAGCCAGCCAAGUGAUGCGGCUAGUGGACCCAUUUCGCCCAUGGAUGCAAGAAGACCACGUGAUGAUAGUGAUCCUAAUGACAGUCGUUGAUUUUGUUGCAAAUUGUCUUGCAUAUUCAAUUAUGAUGAUGUAAUUGUGUGGUUGGAGUGAAUCUUAGAAUAUUGAAGGUUUUGUGUUUAAAUUUGAUUUUGGAAUUUUAAGAUACUAGUUAAUGUUGAAAAUUUGGAGUUUGAAGAUGUUAAUGUUGAAAAUUUAAUUUUGAAGUUUAAUGUUCAAUGUAUUUUUGAGUUGCUUGUGAAUUAUAAAGUUUAAUUAGUCAUGUUGUGUUAAUGAUUUAUGAAUUAAAUAAAUAUUGAAUUGUAGG
This is a long non-coding RNA of Capsicum annuum, 965 nucleotides long. RefSeq lists it as uncharacterized. Lineage: Eukaryota; Viridiplantae; Streptophyta; Magnoliopsida; Solanales; Solanaceae. The transcript has 3 exons. The record is from RefSeq and is a predicted model, not a curated record.